RNAcentral lists this ribosomal RNA (741 nucleotides) under uncultured crenarchaeote. RNAcentral's name for it is "bacterial SSU rRNA". It matches the Rfam family "Archaeal small subunit ribosomal RNA", at positions 95 to 840 of the family's 1478-position model. Lineage: Archaea; Thermoproteati; Thermoproteota. The record is from RNAcentral.
UACACGUAGUCAACAUGCCCAGGGGACGUGGAUAACCUCGGGAAACUGAGGAUAAACCGCGAUAGGUCAUCACUUCUGGAAUGGGUAAUGACUUAAACCUAUAUGGCCCCUGGAUUGGACUGCGGCCGAUCAGGCUGUUGGUGAGGUAAUGGCCCACCAAACCUGUAACCGGUACGGGCUCUGAGAGGAGGAGCCCGGAGAUGGGCACUGAGACAAGGGCCCAGGCCCUAUGGGGCGCAGCAGGCGCGAAACCUCUGCAAUAGGCGAAAGCUUGACAGGGUUACUCUGAGUGAUUUCCGUUAAGGAGAUCUUUUGGCACCUCUAAAAAUGGUGCAGAAUAAGGGGUGGGCAAGUCUGGUGUCAGCCGCCGCGGUAAUACCAGCACCCCGAGUGGUCGGGACGUUUAUUGGGCCUAAAGCAUCCGUAGCCGGUUCUACAAGUCUUCCGUUAAAUCCACCUGCUUAACAGAUGGGCUGCGGAAGAUACUAUAGAGCUAGGAGGCGGGAGAGGCAAGCGGUACUCGAUGGGUAGGGGUAAAAUCCGUUGAUCCAUUGAAGACCACCAGUGGCGAAGGCGGCUUGCCAGAACGCGCUCGACGGUGAGGGAUGAAAGCUGGGGGAGCAAACCGGAUUAGAUACCCGGGUAGUCCCAGCUGUAAACGAUGCAGACUCGGUGAUGAGUUGGCUUAUUGCUAACUCAGUGCCGCAGGGAAGCCGUUAAGUUUGCUGCCUGGGAGUACGU